UACGGAGGGUGCAAGCGUUGCUCGGAAUUAUUGGGCGUAAAGGGUAGGUAGGUGGUCUCAUUUGUCUGGGGUGAAAGCCUUGAGCUUAACUCAAGAAGUGCCCCAGAAACGGUGAGACUGGAGUUCUGGAGAGGGUCGUGGAAUUCCCGGUGUAGCGGUGAAAUGCGUAGAGAUCGGGAGGAAUACCAGAGGCGAAGGCGGCGACCUGGACAGAUACUGACACUGAACUACGAAAGCGUGGGGAGCAAACAGG
RNAcentral lists this ribosomal RNA (253 nucleotides) under uncultured bacterium. RNAcentral's name for it is "partial 16S ribosomal RNA". It matches the Rfam family "Bacterial small subunit ribosomal RNA", at positions 524 to 776 of the family's 1533-position model. The record is from RNAcentral.